This 460-nucleotide ribosomal RNA is filed under the name uncultured bacterium. RNAcentral describes it as "partial 16S ribosomal RNA". It matches the Rfam family "Bacterial small subunit ribosomal RNA", at positions 338 to 795 of the family's 1533-position model. The record is from RNAcentral.
CCUACGGGUGGCAGCAGUGAGGAAUAUUGGUCAAUGGACGAGAGUCUGAACCAGCCAAGUAGCGUGAAGGAUGACUGCCCUAUGGGUUGUAAACUUCUUUUAUAUGGGAAUAAAAUGUUCCACGUGUGGGAUUUUGUAUGUACCAUAUGAAUAAGGAUCGGCUAACUCCGUGCCAGCAGCCGCGGUAAUACGGAGGAUCCGAGCGUUAUCCGGAUUUAUUGGGUUUAAAGGGAGCGUAGGUGGAUUGUUAAGUCAGUUGUGAAAGUUUGCGGCUCAACCGUAAAAUUGCAGUUGAAACUGGCAGUCUUGAGUACAGUAGAGGUGGGCGGAAUUCGUGGUGUAGCGGUGAAAUGCUUAGAUAUCAUGAAGAACUCCGAUUGCGAAGGCAGUUCACUGGACUGCAACUGACACUGAGGCUCGAAAGUGUGGGUAUCAAACAGGAUUAGAUACCCGUGUAGUC